RNAcentral lists this ribosomal RNA (918 nucleotides) under uncultured bacterium. RNAcentral's name for it is "bacterial SSU rRNA". It matches the Rfam family "Bacterial small subunit ribosomal RNA", at positions 8 to 916 of the family's 1533-position model. The record is from RNAcentral.
AGAGUUUGAUCAUGGCUCAGGAUGAACGCUGGCGGCGUGCCUAACACAUGCAAGUCGAACGGGUGUGGUAUCAGGGAAAAGGGGUUUACUUCUUUGACCAGAUAACACACUAGUGGCGGACGGGUGAGUAACGCGUGGAUAACCUGCCUUAUACAGGGGGAUAACAGGGAGAAAUUCUUGCUAAUACCCCAUAGGUAUGUCUGACGCAUGUUGGACAUAUUAAAGCUUUGGCGGUAUAAGAUGGGUCCGCGUCUGAUUAGCUAGUUGGUGGGGUAAAGGCCCACCAAGGCGACGAUCAGUAGCCGGCUUGAGAGAGUGGACGGCCACAUUGGGACUGAGACACGGCCCAAACUCCUACGGGAGGCAGCAGUGGGGAAUAUUGCACAAUGGGGGAAACCCUGAUGCAGCGACGCCGCGUGAAGGAAGAAGGUCUUCGGAUCGUAAACUUCUAUCAGCAGGGAAGAAGGAAGUGACAGUACCUGAGUAAGAAGCCCCGGCUAACUACGUGCCAGCAGCCGCGGUAAUACGUAGGGGGCGAGCGUUAUCCGGAAUUACUGGGUGUAAAGGGUGCGUAGGCGGUAUGGCAAGUCAGUUGUGAAACCCCCUGGCUCAACCAGGGGCUUGCAAUUGAAACUGUCAUACUAGAGUGCAGGAGAGGAAAGCGGAAUUCCUAGUGUAGCGGUGAAAUGCGUAGAUAUUAGGAAGAACACCAGUGGCGAAGGCGGCUUUCUGGACUGUAACAGACGCUGAGGCACGAAAGCGUGGGGAGCGAACAGGAUUAGAUACCCUGGUAGUCCACGCCGUAAACGAUGAGUGCUAGGUGUCGGGGUCUAAUUAGAUCUCGGUGCUGAAGUUAACGCAUUAAGCACUCCACCUGGGGAGUACGAUCGCAAGAUUGAAACUCAAAGGAAUUGACGG